CAGCAAUCUUGUUACCCUACCUGGCUUAGGACGACUUGACACAGGAGUAGGAACUAUUGUAGCAUGUGUGACUGUUAUAGGACAUUUCAUAAUGGGUCUACAUAUGGGGUGGUCAGGAGGUCUGCAUGGGGUUUUGUCUUCUUUAUCACUGAAACACCAGUAAUACUGGAUUAUAUUUGGAAACAGUACAAUAAUUAUCAUUACAUCUCCACCUAUUCACAGGGUUGGGAAAAUAGAGCUCCCUCCUGUAUUUAGGGGUUCCAUGGUCCUUAUCUCUCUGGCGCCAUUGUCUCAUGAUGUGUUGGAGUACAGAGAUUACUAGGCACUUGUCUCACAUCGUCCUUGUAAGGUUUCAGUCAGAGGGCUCGCUUGGUGGGACUUACGGAAUAUCCGGACUGGAGCCUGGUAGAUUGCAGUCUAUAGGUAGCAAGGACAAGUUUUUCCUGAAAUCAACAUGUUUUAACGACCAUCCUCUUUGCCACCACUACCAAAUUAUGGCCCGUCAUUGAACUCCUAAAUUAAUGUGUCUCCAAGUCAUCAGGAACAAAGGAUUAUUUCUCAGAGAGGAGACCAUAACAUAAAAUAUACUGUAUCGUUAUUAUUGCUUUUAUUAUAAUUUUUUGUUACGAACCGUUGUUUGAAAUCAUGUCAGUAUGAAUGUACAAAAUACUCUAUUUAUUAAAUCCUCAUUCAUGCAAAUUAGAAAUUAUAUACUGGAG
Long non-coding RNA from Esox lucius (northern pike), 719 nucleotides. The record is from Ensembl. Lineage: Eukaryota; Metazoa; Chordata; Actinopteri; Esociformes; Esocidae.